This 77-nucleotide transfer RNA is filed under the name Oscillospiraceae bacterium. RNAcentral's name for it is "tRNA-Met". It matches the Rfam family "tRNA". Rfam says of the family: Transfer RNA (tRNA) molecules are approximately 80 nucleotides in length. Their secondary structure includes four short double-helical elements and three loops (D, anti-codon, and T loops). The record is from RNAcentral. Lineage: Bacteria; Bacillati; Bacillota; Clostridia; Eubacteriales; Oscillospiraceae.
GGCGGCAUAGCUCAGUUGGCUAGAGCACUCGGUUCAUACCCGUGGUGUCACUGGUUCAAGUCCAGUUGCCGCUACCA